AGAGUUGUAUCCUGGCUCAGAUUGAACGCUGGCGGCAUGCCUUACACAUGCAAGUCGAACGGCAGCACGGAGCUUGCUCUGGUGGCGAGUGGCGAACGGGUGAGUAAUAUAUCGGAACGUACCCAAGAGUGGGGGAUAACGUAGCGAAAGUUACGCUAAUACCGCAUACGAUCCAAGGAUGAAAGCAGGGGACCGCAAGGCCUUGUGCUCCUGGAGCGGCCGAUAUCUGAUUAGCUAGUUGGUAGGGUAAAAGCCUACCAAGGCAUCGAUCAGUAGCUGGUCUGAGGGGACGACCAGCCACACUGGAACUGAGACACGGUCCAGACUCCUACGGGAGGCAGCAGUGGGGAAUUUUGGACAAUGGGCGCAAGCCUGAUCCAGCAAUGCCGCGUGAGUGAAGAAGGCCUUCGGGUUGUAAAGCUCUUUUGUCAGGGAAGAAAAGGGAUUGGCUAAUAUCUGAUCCUCAUGACGGUACCUGAAGAAUAAGCACCGGCUAACUACGUGCCAGCAGCCGCGGUAAUACGUAGGGUGCAAGCGUUAAUCGGAAUUACUGGGCGUAAAGCGUGCGCAGGCGGUUUUGUAAGACUGUCGUGAAAUCCCCGGGCUCAACCUGGGAAUGGCGAUGGUGACUGCAAGGCUAGAGUUUGGCAGAGGGGGGUAGAAUUCCACGUGUAGCAGUGAAAUGCGUAGAUAUGUGGAG
Molecule: ribosomal RNA, 700 nt
Filed under: uncultured beta proteobacterium
Lineage: Bacteria; Pseudomonadati; Pseudomonadota; Betaproteobacteria
Description: bacterial SSU rRNA
Rfam family: Bacterial small subunit ribosomal RNA
Source: RNAcentral